RNAcentral lists this long non-coding RNA (219 nucleotides) under Elaeis guineensis (African oil palm). RNAcentral's name for it is "long non-coding RNA (EGUI_LNC024512)". The record is from RNAcentral. Lineage: Eukaryota; Viridiplantae; Streptophyta; Magnoliopsida; Arecales; Arecaceae.
GGCAACAAGCUAUGUUAGCAAAGGCUGCUGAUAAUUUGGUUCUGAAUAGGAGUUCUCUUUGGGCUCAAUUAGCAUUUUCGAAAUAUCGGUUUUCCACCUGGAGUGAUUACCAGUCGGUCAGAGGGACUUCUCCUUUGUGGCGCUCUCUGGCACGUUUGGCAAAAUGGAUCCAAGAUGGAUUUCAUUGGCAGGUUGUCAAUGGUCAAACUAUCAGCCUCC